CUGGCGUGCACCUUGGCGUGCGGAGCUGGCACCUUGGCGCCGUGGGCGGCGGCGGGGACAGCUGUGAAGUGUGAAGUUCCUUGUCUGCUGGCAGCCAGAGGCGACGAGUCUGGAUGUCACGGAAGUGAAGGAUGCCAAUUCUGCGCUUCUCAGUAACUACGAGGUGUUUCAGUUACUAACUGAUCUGAAAGAACAGCGUAAAGAAAGUGGAAAGAGGCCGGGCGCGGUGGCUCAAGCCUGUAAUCCCAGCACUUUGGGAGGCCAAGACGGGCGGAUCACGAGGUCAGGAGAUCGAGACCAUCCUAGCUUAACCGGUGAACCCCCUCUCUACUAAAAAAUACAAAAAAAACUAGCCAGGUGAGGUGGCGGCGC
RNAcentral lists this long non-coding RNA (372 nucleotides) under Macaca nemestrina (pig-tailed macaque). Its description in RNAcentral is "lncRNA (ENSMNEG00000045923.1)". The record is from RNAcentral. Lineage: Eukaryota; Metazoa; Chordata; Mammalia; Primates; Cercopithecidae.